Molecule: ribosomal RNA, 429 nt
Filed under: Bacteroidota bacterium
Lineage: Bacteria; Pseudomonadati; Bacteroidota
Description: Bacteroidetes bacterium partial 16S ribosomal RNA
Rfam family: Bacterial small subunit ribosomal RNA
Source: RNAcentral
UAGGGAAUCUUCCGCAAUGGACGCAAGUCUGACGGAGCAACGCCGCGUGAGUGAAGAAGGAUUUCGGUUCGUAAAACUCUGUUGUUAGAGAAGAACAGCGCAUAGAGUAACUGUUAUGCGUGUGACGGUAUCUAACCAGAAAGCCACGGCUAACUACGUGCCAGCAGCCGCGGUAAUACGUAGGUGGCAAGCGUUGUCCGGAUUUAUUGGGUGUAAAGCGAGCGCAGGCGGUCAAUUAAGUCUGAUGUGAAAGCCCCCGGCUCAACCGGGGAGGGUCAUUGGAAACUGGUUGACUUGAGUGCAGAAGAGGAGAGUGGAAUUCCAUGUGUAGCGGUGAAAUGCGUAGAUAUAUGGAGGAACACCAGUGGCGAAGGCGACUCUCUGGUCUGUAACUGACGCUGAGGCUCGAAAGCGUGGGUAGCAAACAGG